Molecule: ribosomal RNA, 1713 nt
Filed under: Enterobacter bugandensis
Lineage: Bacteria; Pseudomonadati; Pseudomonadota; Gammaproteobacteria; Enterobacterales; Enterobacteriaceae
Description: partial 23S ribosomal RNA
Rfam family: Bacterial large subunit ribosomal RNA
Source: RNAcentral
GAAGGUGUGCUGUGAGGCAUGCUGGAGGUAUCAGAAGUGCGAAUGCUGACAUAAGUAACGAUAAAGCGGGUGAAAAGCCCGCUCGCCGGAAGACCAAGGGUUCCUGUCCAACGUUAAUCGGGGCAGGGUGAGUCGACCCCUAAGGCGAGGCCGAAAGGCGUAGUCGAUGGGAAACAGGUUAAUAUUCCUGUACUUGGUGUUACUGCGAAGGGGGGACGGAGAAGGCUAUGUCAGCCGGGCGACGGUUGUCCCGGUUUAAGCGUGUAGGUGUGUGUUCCAGGCAAAUCCGGUUCACUUUAACACUGAGGCGUGAUGACGAGGCACUACGGUGCUGAAGUGAUAAAUGCCCUGCUUCCAGGAAAAGCCUCUAAGCAUCAGGUAACACGAAAUCGUACCCCAAACCGACACAGGUGGUCAGGUAGAGAAUACCAAGGCGCUUGAGAGAACUCGGGUGAAGGAACUAGGCAAAAUGGUGCCGUAACUUCGGGAGAAGGCACGCUGAUAUGUAGGUGAAGUCCCUGCGGACGGAGCUGAAAUCAGUCGAAGAUACCAGCUGGCUGCAACUGUUUAUUAAAAACACAGCACUGUGCAAACACGAAAGUGGACGUAUACGGUGUGACGCCUGCCCGGUGCCGGAAGGUUAAUUGAUGGGGUUAGCGGCAACGCGAAGCUCUUGAUCGAAGCCCCGGUAAACGGCGGCCGUAACUAUAACGGUCCUAAGGUAGCGAAAUUCCUUGUCGGGUAAGUUCCGACCUGCACGAAUGGCGUAAUGAUGGCCAGGCUGUCUCCACCCGAGACUCAGUGAAAUUGAACUCGCUGUGAAGAUGCAGUGUACCCGCGGCAAGACGGAAAGACCCCGUGAACCUUUACUAUAGCUUGACACUGAACACUGGUCCUUGAUGUGUAGGAUAGGUGGGAGGCUUUGAAGCGUGGACGCCAGUCUGCGUGGAGCCGUCCUUGAAAUACCACCCUUUAAUGGCUGGUGUUCUAACGUGGACCCGUGAUCCGGGUUGCGGACAGUGUCUGGUGGGUAGUUUGACUGGGGCGGUCUCCUCCCAAAGAGUAACGGAGGAGCACGAAGGUUAGCUAAUCCUGGUCGGACAUCAGGAGGUUAGUGCAAUGGCAUAAGCUAGCUUGACUGCGAGAGUGACGGCUCGAGCAGGUGCGAAAGCAGGUCAUAGUGAUCCGGUGGUUCUGAAUGGAAGGGCCAUCGCUCAACGGAUAAAAGGUACUCCGGGGAUAACAGGCUGAUACCGCCCAAGAGUUCAUAUCGACGGCGGUGUUUGGCACCUCGAUGUCGGCUCAUCACAUCCUGGGGCUGAAGUAGGUCCCAAGGGUAUGGCUGUUCGCCAUUUAAAGUGGUACGCGAGCUGGGUUUAGAACGUCGUGAGACAGUUCGGUCCCUAUCUGCCGUGGGCGCUGGAGAAUUGAGGGGGGCUGCUCCUAGUACGAGAGGACCGGAGUGGACGCAUCACUGGUGUUCGGGUUGUCAUGCCAAUGGCACUGCCCGGUAGCUAAAUGCGGAAGAGAUAAGUGCUGAAAGCAUCUAAGCACGAAACUUGCCCCGAGAUGAGUUCUCCCUGAGACUAUAAGUCUCCUGAAGGAACGUUGAAGACGACGACGUUGAUAGGCCGGGUGUGUAAGCGCAGCGAUGCGUUGAGCUAACCGGUACUAAUGAACCGUGAGGCUUAACCUUACAACGCCGAAGCUGUU